Molecule: unclassified non-coding RNA, 275 nt
Filed under: Glomeromycotina sp.
Lineage: Eukaryota; Fungi; Glomeromycota
Description: partial contains small subunit ribosomal RNA, internal transcribed spacer 1, and 5.8S ribosomal RNA
Rfam family: Eukaryotic small subunit ribosomal RNA (bases 1-47)
Source: RNAcentral
AAAGUCGUAACAAGGUUUCCGUAGGUGAACCUGCGGAAGGAUCAUUAUUGAAUAUUUUUCUGCUUCUCUUUUUAGGAGGGGGGGUAGUUUAUUCUUGUGAAUUGGAGUUUUUUUCUUCUUCUUUAUUCGCUUGGGAAGAUUUUUACCUUUAGGGGUUCAAGUUGGAACUUGUGCGUAUGGGGGGGGGAAAUUCUCGUAUUUUUAGUAUUUUUUGAUUUUUUUUUAUAUUUAUAAAGAAAAAAAGACAACUUUCAGCAAUGGAUCUCUUGGCUCUU